RNAcentral lists this unclassified non-coding RNA (387 nucleotides) under soil metagenome. RNAcentral describes it as "partial contains 5.8S ribosomal RNA, internal transcribed spacer 2, and large subunit ribosomal RNA". The stretch from base 1 to 122 matches the Rfam family "5.8S ribosomal RNA", at positions 35 to 154 of the family's 154-position model. The record is from RNAcentral.
GAUGAAGAACGUAGCGAAAUGCGAUAAGUAAUGUGAAUUGCAGAAUUCAGUGAAUCAUCGAAUCUUUGAACGCACCUUGCACCCUUUGGACUGCUCCAAAGGGUAUGCUCGUUUGAGUGUCAUUGUACUCUCACACUCUCUGAUCCUUUGGAUUUGGGGAGCGGUGGACUUGGGUGCUUGCUGCUUCCUUGUGGCUCACCUGAAAUGCAUCAGUGCAUCUCUCGAUUGGACAUAGUACGGCGUGAUAAGUGUCUUCGCCGGCACCUCAUAUGAGGGUGGCCGAUCGGGAGCUCUGUGCUUUCAAACCGUCUUCGGAUAACGCUGACAACUUGACCUCAAAUCGAGUAGGACUACCCGCUGAACUUAAGCAUAUCAAUAAGCGGAGGA